RNAcentral lists this ribosomal RNA (468 nucleotides) under uncultured bacterium. RNAcentral's name for it is "partial 16S ribosomal RNA". It matches the Rfam family "Bacterial small subunit ribosomal RNA", at positions 28 to 507 of the family's 1533-position model. The record is from RNAcentral.
GACGAACGCUGGCGGCGUGCUUAACACAUGCAAGUCGAACGGAAAGGCCCUGCUUUUGUGUGGUGCUCGAGUGGCGAACGGGUGAGUAACACGUGAGUAACCUGCCCUUGACUUUGUGAUAACUUCAGGAAACUGGUGCUAAUACCUGCUAGGAGCUCCUGCUGCAUGGUGGGGGUUGGAAAGUUUCGUCGGUUGGGGAUGGACUCCGGGCUUAUCAGCUUGUUGGUGGGGUAGUGGCUUACCAAGGCUUCGACGGGUAGCCGGCCUGGGAGGGGAACCGGGCACAUUGGGACUGAGAUACGGCCCAGACUCCAACGGGAGGCAGCAGGGGAGAAUAUUGCACAAUGGGGGGACGCCUGAUGCAGAAACGCCGCGUGCGGGAUGAAGGCCUUCGGGUGGUAAACCGCUUUCGCCUGUGACGAAGCGUGAGUGACGGUAAUGGGUAAAGAAGCACCGGCUAACUACGUG